CCACAUAAGUCAUAAUAUGAAAGCUUAGAGCAGCUACGGCCACAUUUGAGAAAGAAAAUCACAUGUUUUGUCGAAGAGAUAAGGUCGUCAGCAGUAUCAUUUUCCAGCAACUAAAUCAACUCACGAAAACAACAUUUAUGAUUUUCCUUUUUUCUAUUUACAACAGUCACCUUUUUUUCUUGGAAAAUACAUAAUGAAAUUAAACAAAGAUAAAUUCCAAUAUCAUUUUUCAACAAUACAUGUAUAUAUGUAUGUAUAAGGAAAAGAAGAUCAUAC
Molecule: long non-coding RNA, 276 nt
Filed under: Gossypium barbadense (sea-island cotton)
Lineage: Eukaryota; Viridiplantae; Streptophyta; Magnoliopsida; Malvales; Malvaceae
Description: long non-coding RNA (GBAR_LNC006723)
Source: RNAcentral